UACUCUUCCUGUCUUCUUAAUUAUAUAUGGCCUUGAUUAUAAAUAUGACCAUUAUAAGAGCUGAGUGGAUAUAUAUAUGGAUUUGACCUUCGCAAGGAUCACCUUCAGCCUCUUUUAAUAACUGUAGAGUCAGAUAGCUCUUUUUCUUUCCAUCUAUUUCCAAAUAUUGCUCUUGUAUUUGUCCAUAAUUUUGUGGUCAAUGAUUGUUCACGACCCGUUAGACAAGAAAAUUCUAACCUCUUGAAGGCAUGACAUUUAAACCUAUAUUUUAUUACAGAUAAAUCAGAACUACCCAUAUUUACAUAUUACUCUUGUCCUUAUACUAGCCCCAGCCUCCCAUCCCCCAACAUUUGACACCCCGUUGCUCCCUCUUCCAUUCAAAAUCCAUCCAUAACCUUCUUUCUCCCUAACACCACCACCCCAACAUGGAUAAUUUCUAUGAUUCCAUCUCAUGUCGGAAGCCCCCAUUCCCCUCUGUUCCAUUCAUUCCCACUCCAAUCCCAUAACCUCUCUCCCUCGCUCCCUCAUGCACACACAGGUGCACACUCAAGGUGGCAUCCCUGAAAGUUGAAAAUUAAAGCUUAAAACCCUUUAACCCUUCAAAUUAAUAGAUUACGUCUUUCAGAUAAAAACCCUUCAAUAUAAUAGAUUACCAAUAAGCAUCACAUGUUUAGUACUUAAUUUAAAAA
RNAcentral lists this long non-coding RNA (689 nucleotides) under Phoenix dactylifera (date palm). Its description in RNAcentral is "long non-coding RNA (PDAC_LNC017021)". The record is from RNAcentral. Lineage: Eukaryota; Viridiplantae; Streptophyta; Magnoliopsida; Arecales; Arecaceae.